Odocoileus virginianus texanus is the source of this 1268-nucleotide long non-coding RNA. RefSeq lists it as uncharacterized. Lineage: Eukaryota; Metazoa; Chordata; Mammalia; Artiodactyla; Cervidae. The record is from RefSeq and is a predicted model, not a curated record.
CUCACGCUCCAGAUCCAGUGCCAGGCUCAGCCUCUCUGCGCACGGCCUGCUGCCGCCAUCUUGAAUCUUGAGUGUAGUCUUCCGGUAUAGCCCACAGGCUGAGGUGUCUGUGCGGCCAUUUUGCACCAGGAACUGUGGUCUGACCUGGUGAGUGGGGCUUCUGCCUACGACCCCCUGUGAACAAGUAACAGCAGACUGAGCACAAAGGAAAAAAACAAAGUACAUCUGGUUCACAAAUUGGGAGAGAAACAGAAAAAUGGACUCUCAGCCUCACAAAGAAUGCUUCAUUAUGCCAGAACCUCUUGUGUUUGUCCUGUCCAGGAGAAAGAAUUUGACAAGGUGCACAUUAGAUGCUCUUAUGUCAAUGACCCAAGAAAUGCUUGGUAUAACCAGCCCUCUAACUCUUCAGGACAGUGGCACAGAACAGCAUGACAUAGACCGGCAGCCACAGAGCCACAUAACAAGCGUCGCUUUGCGCAAACAGCUGCUGAGGUUCGGGAUGAAAGCGUUGUCUCCUGGAACAUCUAAACUCUAACAUCUGCUUGACAAUAAAUGUCUGAUUAGACGAUUCUUAUGGAACAAAGUCCAACAUAUCAAGCAUACCCUUUUCAAAAGAAAAUUUUUACUGCUCACCACUUAACAUUAGACUAAUAACAUUUAGCGUGGUUCAUCUGUGUUUUCAAAAUACAUAGAGAUGUUUAAUUAAGCAGUGAAUAUCUUUUUUUCUUUCAAAAACAGCUUAAAAUAAGGUUCAUCAAAACGUGAUUUUAAUUUGAUCACCUGCCUUUUGAAGUCAAGUCUCUCCAACUCCAGCAAAGUGUGGGGUUGAGGCAAUUAUCUGAAUUAUUCAGGAAGCAGAAUUUUAGCCUAAAUCAUCACAUUCCUAGAGAACAAAGAAUAUCUGUCAGUUCAGCCGAAAAGCAGAAAAAUUGAACACUUUGCUCUUUUUCUACAUGAAAUAGCAUAUACGCUGCCUUAUUUUCUCUGAGCUAAUUGGCUAAUGAAUUCUAUUUGACCCUGUACAGAGGAAGAAAAAUCUUAAGAAGAUGAAACCAAGAAGUUAAAGAUUCCUCCUCUUUGCAAAAGUCGGCAGAGAUCUAUAUUUACCAAACGUUGUUCUGCUUCAAGUUUCUGCUGCCAAAUUGGAACUUUCUGAAGAAUGGUGUUCAAGCCUUUUCUUAGUUCUCCAGCAAUGUUUCAGCUCAUCUGUGUUCUUCGUUCAUAACUUCUCACCUGAAAACUAUUCCAUAAAUAUAGAAUGAAUUGUA